GCAGUUAAUGGAUACUUUUGCCCUGAAGUAGCCCCCAGGAUAGGGAGCUGAGAGCAGAUGUAACUUCAACACCAGCUUAUACUGCAAGCAUGAAAACAGACAGAUGUCUCUGAGUGAAUGCAGCAAAAAUUAUUUCCCAGAACUGGGGCAGGAAAACAAUCUAGCUCCUCUCCAGCAUGCACAGAGCGUGGCUGAAGAAGAGAAUUUUAUUCAUUAAGUUAACUGGCAAUGAUCCCUGAAAUGUCAGCCUUGGCCUGAAGUUUGUCUCUGGGCUUGGAAAGCAUCCUAGCCCUUCUGGUUUUGAAAGAGGAAGGUAUAUGGCUCCUUCCAUUUUUUAUGUGCUGGCUCUGCCAAAGUUUCGGUGCAAAUAGGAGGGAUAAUGCCUUUCCAUUUGCUGCCUACUUCCUUCAGAGGGGAAAUGGGAUCUCCCAAGCAGAGUACAGAAAAUCCACAGGGAGCAUGCAAGAGUCGCAUCCAUCAUUAAGGUUCGUAUUGUUCAGCAACUUCUGAAGGCACUGUCGGGCACUCAUGUGCCAGCAAAGUCAGCGGUGGAGUCAGGUUGUGACCUGGCAUGAGCUUAUUUGCGGAGAAGGUGUGGGAAGACUUGCACAGCGAGCAGACUCACGGGCCUCGCUCUACCUAGAGGAUGUGGGAGCAUUAGUGGCACAGUGUGGUUUCAUUAGGAAACUGGCCCAGCAUCGUUAGCAUAGAGGAUACAGUCUCCUUGGGACAGAUGUAAAGAGGUACAAGAACGCUCUUUCCUUUGUGAGAGAUGGAGAGGCCUUUUAAACAUUUUUGGAAGUCCCAGACAUGAAUACACAGUUAAGGGCUGGCCAAUGAUGCCAGGAAGGGACCCAUAUGAUAGACUGGGUGCAAGGGAUGCAUCUGCUCCCAGAUGGUGUGCCUGCUGUCUGCAGAGAGGCCACAGAAACCUGCUGCUGAUCCAACCAUUAUGGGCUGUGCCUGCCUCCAUCACCUGCUGACUCCCUGCUCCAUGUCCACCUGCGAGUGCUCUUCUGAGUGCAGAAGCAAAUUAAACGUGUUUCCUAUGGCCUGUGGUAGUUAUGGGAUUUCUUCAAUGAAGGUUUGCUGGUGCUUGGUAUUUUAGCUUGCACUGCAGUCUCUCUCAGUGCGGGUGCUCAGAGAGUCCUCUCUCCCCUCUCCACCUACCUAUUUUCAUUAUCUCUGGGAUCUAUAUGCCUCUCUUGGUUGAAACUGGAGAAGGAUUUGAAUAGAUGCUUGUCAAUAGGAAACUUGUAGAGGUUCAGGCAGCCUAGUUCCUCCUCUCAGGGCAGCUUGAUGGGAUAAGCUGUCUGCCCUUAAAAAAAUACUAAUAAGGGAAACACAAAGGAAAAAAGAGAAAGCAAAAUGGUGAAAAGUAGAGGAAAAUUGAUCUCUUAAAUGGCUUGUUAUAUCAGCCAGAUGUCCAUUCACUCUGCCAGCUGCCUGGAUAGCUUAGCCCUACUCCCAUAAAGAACCUUGUGUCUUGCACUGUGCCUCUCUUUUUGCAUAUUUGUUCCACUUGCAACUGGUUUUCUGAGCCCUAUUUCUCCCCAGUUUCUGCUACUCUGGAAGCCUGUGUGCUAUCGCUUCAAGGCAUUGCUGGCUGGUGCUGUGGGCAUAGAAAACAAGGCACAAGGAGGGACUGACAGCAUGGGGCACUUCCCUUGGGUCCCUGUUUUAGCCACAAGGCAGAUGUUGCCCUGUCUUGGCUGCAUGAAGCUGGUAGGGCUAUGCCCACCUGCCCAAAGCAGUCUGUAUGGUAGACCCAUGUGCCGAAUAAUUUCCCUGUUACUUUACUUACUUCACCCUUCCUUCUUAGCCCACUCUGCAGUGAUGUUUCUCUCAUGCUUGGUUUGCCUCCCGAGGCUGAAGGAGACUUGGCUGUGGAUUGGGAUAUAUUGUAAAGAUGCUGAUGUUGCUUAUCAAUUGUCCUCUUUGUGGAGAGAAGUUGUGUGUGGUUUAAAUCACUUCAAAGACCAAUAGUUUUGUCUUUAAUAGUGGUGUAACUCAGACCUGUGCUCAGCCUGGGCAGUUGGGACAGGCACAGCAGUCAGGCUGGAGGCAUUUUGGCAAGGCGAUGAAGAGAGCCAAGUCUGCAAUGGCAUCACCAGGCCAGGAGUUUGUCAGCCAUUCUGUAGAAGCACAGCUCUGGCAGGGAAGUCUUAGAGUGUUGUAAGAACAAGGCUCAGGGAGCCCUGUGUGCUCACAGGAUAUGGGCUCAGCACGGGCCUGAUGUUCAGCUCCAGCUCACUUCCAUAUUUGCUUUAGAAUAACACUAUUCAGGUUCCAUAAGUAAUCUGAAAACUCUACCUGGCUCUUAGCAAGGAGAAUUUGUAACAGAGGUCACUGCAGUGGGAGAGCAGGCAAGUUGUCUCCUGACAGCUAAUUUCUUCCUGUGCUUCUCUUCCAGCCAUCUUCUGGGGUUGGAGGCUGUUGAGCUGCUAGUAUGAGUGUGCCUAUGUGUGCUGAUUAUUAUGUGUGCACAUGCUGGCUGGGACACUGAACUCUGGCCUGUGCUGCUCUUGCUCCCGGUGCGCUGCCUUCUCCGCGCUCCGCCGGUUGUGUAGUCAGAGACCUUCUAGCACCAGUGCCAAAGGACUGCGACAGACCCCUGGGUGGCAGCAGGCCAUUUGGUUGAUGGAUUAUCCAUUCCAAGCAAGAGACAGUAAUCUUCAGAGGAGCAGACACAGAGAAGGGGCAGAGUUAAUCACUUUGAGCAUGGACAACAGUUGGAGGAGGGAGUGAGCAAUUCUAAGAGAAAACUGUGUGGUUUGGAGGGGAAGAGGAAGCAAAAGGGAAAUUAAAAGCAUACAGCAAAAAGUCAAGGGCUCUUGCUUGGUCAGGAGAGACAAGAUGACUGGGUUUAUUACAGCAGGGUAGGACUCAGCCUCCACCAGCACCUUCAUUUUGUCAUUGGUUUCUCACACGUUCAAUGGAAUGCAGCUGCCCACUAUCUCUCCACAGUGGGACACUGCAGCCUCUGCCCAUAAAUACACACAUACUGCACGGUUACAAAUGGGAGAGGUUGGGAAGCAGAGUGCUGAAAAUCUCUGACCUCAUUGCCUGCAUUGGAAUAGCAAUGAGAAGUGCUCAGACAGGUGUAUUAUGCCAUAUGGAUUCAAACAACAGAUUCUGCUUGAGACUAUAUUAAGAAGUGGGGAAUUUAGAUUUCAAAGGCAGCUCUAUGUUACUACAACAUUCACAUAAAGAUGUUUUUGAACUCCAUACUACAUUUCACCAGGGAAGUCAUUCUGGGCCUCACACCAAACCAGCUGUAAUUUGGGCAGAGGGUUUUUCACUUUUCUGAUCUGCAGCUGAGUCAGUGAGUAUAUUAGCUACUAUUUCCAAAUCUUAACGGGUUAUCUCUAGGCUUCUAGCAGCCUACACAGCAUCUCUCAUUUCACAGAAGAGCUUUGAUAUAUAUAUAGGGGUUGAAAGCAUUGCAAGUCCUGAGUAUUAAUGGCCGAGUUAAAAAUUGAAUAACCAGUGUCAAGAGACAGGAUAUGUUUAUAUUGUCAUGGCAUGUGCCAAUGGAUGAUCCCACUACACACAGUCUUUCAAUUUGUUUUUCUUUUGUUUGGCCACAGAAGGAUGUGAUAUGGCACAGAGAUUUUGCAAGGUUUGGGGCAGAGUCAAGAGACCUAAAGUGAGAGCUUUGUAAGCAUCAGUGUUUUAUUGUGGGUUUUCAUCUACAUCAGUUCAAAGGGAAAUCUACACCAGUCCUGGACUGAGGUCCCUGAGAGCACUUGCAGGCUGUUCACCACCUCUGUUUCAGGGCUGCUUGUAUAAAGCAAAUAUGUAGACUAUUCCCAAGCACAAAUCUAGUUCUUUUUUGCUGGAAGGACAAACCACAUGCUCUAAACAUCUGGCAUUACACAGACUAAAGGACAAUGGAUGGAAAAAAGUAAUUAAAAAUAUUAGCACUAGUUACAAUUAAAAACCACAAUUCAUAACAUAAGACCAUAAGAAUCUUAAUGGCCAGAUUAGACCAAUGCUCCAUUUAGUUCAGCCUGCAGCUUCUAAAAGUAGUUUUUUCUGGCUGGUGCAGAGGGCGGUGGAAAAGCCACACAAAUGGACAACACUUAAAACAUGCCAAGCAGAGCAGUUUCUUCCUGCUUUAUACUUCUGCUUAUAACAGGGCUAAACUUUUAACAAGAAAGUUUGUAUCUCUUAACAUUUAUGAAUAUAUAUGUAGGUAUUUACAUAUAUUGCAGCUGUGCCUGAGUCCCUUGAAACUGUCAUAACCAGUGGAGGUCACAGUUACAAACCAACUGACUGUGUCUUUCUGGGCCCAGCCAUUCCUUGUGAUACAACAGUGGCAAAGACUGAGUCACAGUGGUCACCAAGGUGUCCUAUCCAAGCCUUCCUAGUCAUAUGAAUCACUUUGCUCCAUCACCAGAUCAUCUUAAGAACUUAAGUUGUGUGGGCUGGAGUUGAAUCACCAAGACCAAAUGAGGCAUCUCAGUUCCCAAGAUCAGUUCAGUUGCUCUAGUCAAUUGCAUCCACAAGGACUUUCUGGAAACUUGAGGAAUACACAAUGUCAGAGGAUCAAUAGCCAAGAUGGAAGGAAUAUAAGCAAGACUCUGAGGCUGCUAUCCAAGAAGAGUUUUUAAAUAGAUAGGAAUUUAUGAGGGUAAGCUAGAAAUGCACCCUUGAGCUCUAUGGCUGCCUCUCCCUUCUUGCAGAGUCAGGAAAUGAACCUGAGAAGCAUCUGUUGGAUUCUGUUAACAUGUUGAAGUGCAUCUCUUUGGGCACAGUUACCCUCCCAAUAGCUUUUGUUGAAGGGUGGAUAGCUAUAUCUAGUUGACAGACAUGACUGAAGGCCCAUACUUUCACUGUUACACAAUUUAAUGUCUUCACAACAUAAAGACAAAAGCCACCAUAGGAGUUAAAAUGACACUAUUCCUCCUGUGGUAUCUAGGUGCUGGUUUGAAGCAAAAGCUCUCAAGGAAAAAAAUGCUUGGAGUCUGUGUGGGGGCAUUAAAUUAGAUUUACUUUAAUUUGGACAGAAGAACGUUAAGUACAAAAAUUAAAACACAAAAAUAAUUAGCAUCUGAGGUUGCAAGAAGCAAUUCAUUUAGUAAUUCCACUGUGAGCUUGCUGGGUUUAAGGUUCUGGGGUGUGUUUUUAGUUUUUUGCUUCUGGCACUCUCAGCUGCUAUCUCUAUGCUACAUUGCUUCACACCUGGAUUGACCUGCCUUUAUAAUGUGUACUUGACAUCCAAUCAAGGUGGUUUUGAAGCAGAAACAGUGCUAUUAAAAUGCUGUUGAGAAAUCUGAGGCUCUUUUUCUAGU
Molecule: non-coding RNA, 5297 nt
Organism: Taeniopygia guttata (zebra finch)
Lineage: Eukaryota; Metazoa; Chordata; Aves; Passeriformes; Estrildidae
Source: RefSeq, a predicted model, not a curated record